This 270-nucleotide unclassified non-coding RNA is filed under the name Hevea brasiliensis (rubber tree). The record is from RNAcentral. Lineage: Eukaryota; Viridiplantae; Streptophyta; Magnoliopsida; Malpighiales; Euphorbiaceae.
GGAAACACCUGUCAGCUUGGAUGCGGAGGACAUAAGAAAUGAAAAGGUGAAAGUUCUACGUAGUAUGAAGCCCUUGCUACUGGAAAAUGUUGUGACAGGACAGUACAAAGCCAAUAGAAAGGGUGACAUUUCACACCCUGGAUACACGGAUGAUAAAACUGUACCCAAAGACAGUCUGACUCCAACAUUUGCUGCAGCUGCCCUUUUUAUAGACAAUGCAAGGUGGGAUGGCGUGCCUUUCCUUAUGAAAGCUGGGAAAGCAUUGCAUAC